This 492-nucleotide ribosomal RNA is filed under the name uncultured bacterium. Its description in RNAcentral is "partial 16S ribosomal RNA". It matches the Rfam family "Bacterial small subunit ribosomal RNA", at positions 29 to 507 of the family's 1533-position model. The record is from RNAcentral.
AGUGAACGCUGGCGGUAGGCCUAACACAUGCAAGUCGAACGGCAGCACAGUAAGAGCUUGCUCUUACGGGUGGCGAGUGGCGGACGGGUGAGGAAUACAUCGGAAUCUACUUUUUCGUGGGGGAUAACGUAGGGAAACUUACGCUAAUACCGCAUACGACCUACGGGUGAAAGCAGGGGAUCUUCGGACCUUGCGCGAUUGAAUGAGCCGAUGUCGGAUUAGCUAGUUGGCGGGGUAAAGGCCCACCAAGGCGACGAUCCGUAGCUGGUCUGAGAGGAUGAUCAGCCACACUGGAACUGAGACACGGUCCAGACUCCUACGGGAGGCCGCCGUGGGGAAUAUUGGACCAUGGGCGCAAGCCUGAUCCAGCCCUACCGCGUGGGUGAAGAAGGCCUUCGGGUUGUAAAGCCCUUUUGUUGGGAAAGAAAAGCAGCAGGUUAAUACCCCGCUGUUCUGACGGUACCCAAAGAAUAAGCACCGGCUAACUUCGUG